GAUGAACGCUGGCGGCAUGCCUAAUACAUGCAAGUCGAACGAGAACCUUCGGGUUCUAGUGGCGGACGGGUGAGUAACGCGUGGGUAACCUGCCUCAUACAGGGGGAUAACAGUUAGAAAUGGCUGCUAAUACCGCAUAAGCGCACAGUACCGCAUGGUACGGUGUGAAAAACUCCGGUGGUAUGAGAUGGACCCGCGUCUGAUUAGCUAGUUGGUGAGGUAACGGCUCACCAAGGCGACGAUCAGUAGCCGACCUGAGAGGGUGACCGGCCACAUUGGGACUGAGACACGGCCCAGACUCCUACGGGAGGCAGCAGUGAGGAAUAUUGGUCAAUGGGCGAGAGCCUGAACCAGCCAAGUAGCGUGAAGGAAGACUGCCCUAUGGGUUGUAAACUUCUUUUGUUCGGGAAUAAAGUGCAGUAUGUAUACUGUUUUGUAUGUACCGUUCGAAUAAGCAUCGGCUAAUUCCGUG
RNAcentral lists this ribosomal RNA (472 nucleotides) under uncultured bacterium. RNAcentral's name for it is "bacterial SSU rRNA". It matches the Rfam family "Bacterial small subunit ribosomal RNA", at positions 28 to 507 of the family's 1533-position model. The record is from RNAcentral.